Long non-coding RNA from Felis catus (domestic cat), 1055 nucleotides. RefSeq lists it as uncharacterized. The record is from RefSeq and is a predicted model, not a curated record. Lineage: Eukaryota; Metazoa; Chordata; Mammalia; Carnivora; Felidae. The transcript has 4 exons.
ACCAGCUCCACGUUGUCCAGCAUGUUCCCCGUGGAGGUCGCCAGUUCCCGAAGGAGGGAGUCUUCCAGAUCCUUCAGCAGGUUCUUGUUCUCACUCGUCUCCUGGAUGAGGUGCUCCCGCUGCUCCUCCAGCUCGCGCCUCUCGUGCAGGCCAACCCGAGAAAACGGGAGAAACGGCACUGUGUCCCUGACAGAACUCAGCCAAGAGGAAGGGCAGAAAUCCAAAAUCAUGCCGCGUAACGUACUUCAGUGCACCACACGGAGUAACUUUCGGCCCCAGCACAACAGGGUCUCACCACACUCCGGGUGUGGGUACCGGGGCCCGUGGUCCAGGCUCAGCACGCCCCAAGACACGUACCCCGCUGCCUUCCUAGGGGCGCCCAAACCUUCAUCACCAAGAACCGACCAGUUGCGAUCUGGCUAGGAGCGAAUGACCUGGGGUCACCUAACGAAACGGCGUCCCCUGAAAGCUCUGGUCCCCAGUUGUGGUCUCCGUGGGAACCACCCUAAUUCGCCACUGAGGUUCUGUACAUCCUUACCGGUGUAGUUGAUGACCAUGGCUUUCCCAAACACAGACGGGCUGUAUCUGGGAUUGGCCAGCUUGGUGUUUAGGUACAGUCUGAAAUUUGAGUCGUAAUCCACCUCCUUAUCCCCCAGGAUGAUAAACUGCCGUCCUUGGGAGACUUUGAUAUUCUUUUCUAAGACGUUAUCGAUCACCGGAUCGAUGUACUCGUCCACGUCGUGGAACAGGAAAGGGGUCCCAUACUUUACGGCCAUCUCCAGCUGCUUGAGGAAGUCGGGGUCAUUGAAGGAAGCAACCUGCAAGACGGAGAAUUAAAAAAAAAAAAAAUGAGCAUCUAAGCCCUGGAUGGGUAGGGUGCCCCUUCCAGCUCCUGGCAGCUGAAAGACGUGCCCAGUUGAGGGCCUGCUGCUGGGGGUCGAUGCAGAGGGGGAACCGGCUGGCCCGGGUGGUAAGGAUGCCAUUCUGAACCGAGAGCUCAUCGGGGGGCAGUCCCUGGGAGCCCCACCUGGAAGAACAGUGACAGGGAAAUGUAU